RNAcentral lists this long non-coding RNA (558 nucleotides) under Neogale vison (American mink). RNAcentral's name for it is "Neovison vison (American mink) lncRNA (ENSNVIG00000022523.1)". Lineage: Eukaryota; Metazoa; Chordata; Mammalia; Carnivora; Mustelidae. The record is from RNAcentral.
CUGGAACACAAGAUGAAGGGAGUUUGGAUCUCAGUUGCCAAAGACUUCUCAGUUACCAAUAGGUUGGGCUAGCUUUGGACCCAGGUCAGUCUGGCUCCAUAUUUUACCCACUUCUUCUCCUUCCCCAAUCCUAAAACACUUGGGAGCCGAAGGGAAAGGUCCUAAUGGAACUUGGGUGUUUCCUGAGGGGUCCAAAGGGGAUUUCCUGGAGUCAGAAUGGCCAAGUUUCCUGAAGUUAAACAGUUGACACAGACAAAUAACAGACACUCCCAGAAACAUGAAACCAACAGCCAACGAACCGACCAACAGUCAACCAACGGACCUACAGCACCACCAACAAAAAAAUGGUCUUUUCAACAGAGAGAGACACAGUGAGAGAGGGAACACAAGCGGGGGAGUGGCAGAGGGAGAAGCAGGCUUCCCACCCAGCACAGAGCCCAACGCAGGGCUCGAUCCCAGGACCCCGGGAUCACAACCGGAGCCGAAGGCAGGCACCUAACGAAUGAAGAAUCUGAGCUUCAGGAAGGUUAAGCAGGUUUGCUUGAGAUCACAAAGCUG